AUUGAACGCUGGCGGCAGGCCUAACACAUGCAAGUCGAGCGGAGCGGCGGACGGGUGAGUAAUGCCUAGGAAUCUGCCUGGUAGUGGGGGAUAACUACUGGAAACGGUAGCUAAUACCGCAUACCAUCGGAUGUGCCCAGAUGGGAUUAGCUAGUAGGUGGGGUAACGGCUCACCUAGGCGACGAUCCCUAGCUGGUCUGAGAGGAUGACCAGCCACACUGGAACUGAGACACGGUCCAGACUCCUACGGGAGGCAGCAGUGGGGAAUAUUGGACAAUGGGCGAAAGCCUGAUCCAGCCAUGCCGCGUGUGUGAAGAAGGUCUUCGGAUUGUAAAGCACUUUAAGUUGGGAGGCGUUACCAACAGAAUAAGCACCGGCUAACUUCGUGCCAGCAGCCGCGGUAAUUC
This 407-nucleotide ribosomal RNA is filed under the name uncultured bacterium. Its description in RNAcentral is "partial 16S ribosomal RNA". It matches the Rfam family "Bacterial small subunit ribosomal RNA", at positions 30 to 526 of the family's 1533-position model. The record is from RNAcentral.